This 253-nucleotide ribosomal RNA is filed under the name uncultured bacterium. RNAcentral describes it as "partial 16S ribosomal RNA". It matches the Rfam family "Bacterial small subunit ribosomal RNA", at positions 524 to 776 of the family's 1533-position model. The record is from RNAcentral.
UACGAAGGGGGCUAGCGUUGCUCGGAAUCACUGGGCGUAAAGGGUGCGUAGGCGGUUCUUUAAGUCAGGGGUGAAAUCCUGGAGCUCAACUCCAGAACUGCCUUUGAUACUGAGGAUCUUGAGUUCGGGAGAGGUGGGUGGAACUGCGAGUGUAGAGGUGAAAUGCGUAGAUAUUCGCAAGAACACCAGUGGCGAAGGCGGCUCACUGGCCCGAUACUGACGCUGAGGCACGAAAGCGUGGGGAGCAAACAGG